RNAcentral lists this ribosomal RNA (542 nucleotides) under Necrobia rufipes (red legged ham beetle). Its description in RNAcentral is "partial 16S ribosomal RNA". It matches the Rfam family "Bacterial large subunit ribosomal RNA", at positions 1803 to 2617 of the family's 2925-position model. The record is from RNAcentral. Lineage: Eukaryota; Metazoa; Arthropoda; Insecta; Coleoptera; Cleridae.
UUUAACAAAAACAUGUCCUUUUGAUUAUAAUUUAAGGUCUAAUCUGCCCACUGAGGAAUUAAAUGGCCGCGGUAUUUUGACCGUGCAAAGGUAGCAUAAUAAUUAGUUUUUUAAUUGGAAGCUGGUAUGAAUGAUUGAAUGAGAAAAUGACUGUCUUAAAAUAAUUUUUUUAGAAUUUUAUUUUUAAGUAAAAAAGCUUAAAUAAUAUUAAAAGACGAGAAGACCCUAUAGAGUUUUAUAUUUUUAUAAUUUUAAUUAUUAAUGGUUUUGAAUAAAUUAUAAUUUAAAAAUAUUUUGUUGGGGUGAUAGAAAAAUUAAAUAAACUUUUUUUAUUUAUUUACAUUUAUAAAUGAAUAAAUGAUCCAAAUUUUUUGAUUAUAAGAUUAAAUUACCUUAGGGAUAACAGCGUAAUUUUUUUUGAGAGUUCUUAUCGAAAAAGGAGAUUGCGACCUCGAUGUUGGAUUAAAGUUAAGUUUUGGUGUAGAAGCUAAAAUAUUAGGUCUGUUCGACCUUUAAAACUUUACAUGAUCUGAGUUCAGACC